ACCUACGGGACGCAGCAGUCGGGAAUAUUGCGCAAUGGAGGAAACUCUGACGCAGUGACGCCGCGUAUAGGAAGAAGGUUUUCGGAUUGUUAACUAUUGUCUUGAGGGAGGAAAUUGACAGUACCUCAGGAGGAAGCUCCGGCUAACUAUGUGCCAGCAGCCGCGGUAAUACAUCGGGAGCAGGCGUUAUCCGGAUUUAUUGGGUGUAAAGGGUGCGUAUUCGGGAUAUUAAGUUAGUUGUGAGAUCCCUCGGCUUAACUGAGGAACUGCAACUAAAACUGAUUUUCUUGAGUACUGGAG
RNAcentral lists this ribosomal RNA (300 nucleotides) under uncultured bacterium. Its description in RNAcentral is "bacterial SSU rRNA". It matches the Rfam family "Bacterial small subunit ribosomal RNA", at positions 337 to 654 of the family's 1533-position model. The record is from RNAcentral.